This 76-nucleotide transfer RNA is filed under the name Saprospiraceae bacterium. Its description in RNAcentral is "tRNA-Gly". It matches the Rfam family "tRNA". Rfam says of the family: Transfer RNA (tRNA) molecules are approximately 80 nucleotides in length. Their secondary structure includes four short double-helical elements and three loops (D, anti-codon, and T loops). The record is from RNAcentral. Lineage: Bacteria; Pseudomonadati; Bacteroidota; Saprospiria; Saprospirales; Saprospiraceae.
GCGGACAUAGCUCAGUUGGUAGAGCGCAACCUUGCCAAGGUUGAGGUCGCGAGUUCGAAUCUCGUUGUCCGCUCCA